RNAcentral lists this ribosomal RNA (198 nucleotides) under uncultured bacterium. RNAcentral describes it as "partial 16S ribosomal RNA". It matches the Rfam family "Bacterial small subunit ribosomal RNA", at positions 328 to 539 of the family's 1533-position model. The record is from RNAcentral.
ACGCUCGACACCUACGGGAGCAGCAGUGGGGAAUAUUGCACAAUGGGGGAAACCCUGAUGCAGCGACGCCGCGUGAGCGAAGAAGUAUUUCGGUAUGUAAAGCUCUAUCAGCAGGGAAGAAGAAAGACGGUACCUGACUAAGAAGCCCCGGCUAACUACGUGCAAGCAGCCGCGGUAAUCUGAGCGGGCUGGCAAGGC